This 115-nucleotide small nucleolar RNA is filed under the name Catagonus wagneri (Chacoan peccary). Its description in RNAcentral is "Small nucleolar RNA SNORA27 (ENSCWAG00000019690.1)". It matches the Rfam family "Small nucleolar RNA SNORA27". Rfam says of the family: ACA27 is a member of the H/ACA class of snoRNA that guide the sites of modification of uridines to pseudouridines. The record is from Rfam by way of RNAcentral. Lineage: Eukaryota; Metazoa; Chordata; Mammalia; Artiodactyla; Tayassuidae.
UACCCCCUUUUCACUUUACCAAUUGGACUUGUGUCUUUACUGGUCAUUCAAGUGGAAUAAAAGUAAUAUUCUUUUAAUACUCAAGCCAACUGAGAACUUGUCAGAGGAAACAAAU